AUGAUGUUGAGAAGACGCUGUGUUCAAGGAUACCACAGAAAUACAAUUCUAACCUUUUGUUGUGUGCAUGUCAUUUUACCAAGGACUUUUUAUCUUCGUUGGCUUCUAAUCUUCUUAAUUUGGACUAACAAGUUCUCCAAACCACAACCUUCCCAGUGGCCGAGUGCUGCAACAGUAAGAGCCAUCCAGGAUGAUGAUCCAGAAGUGAGAAAUGAGAUUACUGCUAAUACGAUUAUGGUAAAAACAGACGAAUGUCCAACCAGCAAACUUCUGAAUUAUUUCUCCAAAUGGGUAACUCUCAAAAGAAUUGUUGAGGUUUGUGUCUUCAUUGUGCACGUGCCGGGGGUUAAUGACACAGGAGCCUGCUUGUGUGAGAAGGAGGCGAUUUUCUCAGCUCCUUCAGAAGAGAGGGAAAAACGGUUCAGUCAAGUAAUGUUCAUAAUUCCAUCACGUUAUUAUUAUUAUUAUUAUUGUUAUUAUUAUUAUCUUUUUACUAAGAGUAAAGGAAUGUUUGGUUUUGUAGAUGUUGAAAGCCAGAGGCAUAGGAGAGCAUUAUUCUUUUGAGACUGAAUUCAAGUGAUUUUUAGAAAAUAAAUGUUUCCAUUUUGAUACAACAACAGUAUGAUUACGUGUUCAUAUUUUAUUUAAACCAUUGAUGUCUGUGUUUUUCAUUGCAGAACUCAAACCAACUUUGAAGUUGUCUGAUUUGGAGAGUCAUCAUUCUUGGUUAUUGUAGAAGUAAGCCAUGCCAAUAUAUAUAUAUAUAUAUAUAUAUAUAUAUAUAUAUUUAUAUAUAUAUAUAUAUAUAUAUAUAUAUAUAUACACACACACAUAUAUAUAUAUAUAUAUAUAUAUAUAUAUAUAUAUAUAUAUAUAUAUAUAUAUAUAUAUAUAUAUAUACUGUAUAUAUAUGAAUAAAUCUUAAAUUAUAUCAUAGCGAACAUGUCUGUUCAGAAGAAAAUAUUGGUCUCCCAGGCUUGUAUUUAAGAACAAAAAUUAAGAGAAGAUGAAUUAAAUUUGUUUGUAUUCCAAAAAUUGGCAGACUUUGUAUGCGUUUGGAACAACAUGGGGGAGAAUAAAUUGUGACCAUUGAGAACUAGCCCUUUAAAAAGCAGCCCUCCACGUACAUGAACAUUUGUUUGUUUUAAUGUUUCAGUAAAGAAGUAGCUUUCUGAAAGCAAUAUAUUUAUUUAAACAAUAUUACAUGCCCUCACACUAGUGCUGUCAUUAUAGCAUUCUAAAGCACUGUGGUAGAUGGAGACAGAGAAAUUAUAAAACAGACCAUUUACCUAUACUGAUCGUACUAUCUGAAAAUGGAUAGAUUUUAAUUAUUAUUAUUAUUAUUAUUAUUUUUUCAAAUGUUUUUUUCUUUUUAGGCCAUUGAUGAAGAACAGGCAGUGACUGGGAUGAAUGCUGGUCAAAGAAUAUAAUGUCCUUUCCCCCAAACUGAUGCAAUAGUGAUUUUAAUAUUGCUCUGUAUAAUGUAAAAGAUGUUACAUGCCUUUGCUGUGCUGAUGGGGCUUCUUCAUGACUACAUCAAUUAUCCUAAAGAGAUCAUGAAAAUUGACAGUGAUGCAGGACCUGUAUAUUUAUGGACUAUGAAACAAACUGUAAGUGUAUAGUUUGUAAAAACAAAAUAUUAAAUGAUUGUUCUGUUUAGUAGAAAUGGAGUUUACACUCUGUCAUUAAUUCACAUGCUCACAUUCUUUCACACAUAUGUUUCUAAUAAAUGUUAUACAAUCAGUCUUAAUGUUGUGGUUUAUUUACUGCCAUGCCAGAAUAUAAUAUAUAAAAUUUGCCAAAAAAAGUAAAAUUUGAUCUAUAAAAGUUAUGUUUAAUUUUUAAUUUAUAAACACUGUAGCUGUUAAUGCCAUUCUUUUCUGCAUUUGUUCUUAUAUGCAUGUUACUUUUGACUUUUCUCUUUUUGUUUUUAAAGGGGUCAUAUGAUGUUGCUAAAAAGAACAUUAUGUUAUGUAUUUGGUGUAAUGCAAUGUGUUUAUAUUGUUUAAGGUUCAAAAAACACAUUGUUUUCCAUAUACUGUACAUUAUUGUUGCUCCUCUAUGCCCCGCCUUUCUGAAAAGCAAGGUGUACGCUGAUUGGCCAGCUAUCCAGUGCGUUGUGAUUGGCUGCACACCUCAAGUGUGUGACGGAAAUGUUACGCCCCUUACAUACAGUGAUGCUGUCUCCCAGCGCGACCAGACAAAACCAAUAAAACCCAUUACAAACGAGACAUUUGUUGCAUCCAGUGGGGACAUAAUUGCUGAUUAUAAUGACUGUUUUUACGCGUUGUGUUGUGUAUCGUGCUGCAUAAACAUAAAACCAAGUCUGCAUUUGUGAUCAGUGAGAAAAGACAAACAACAAGUGCUACUCUACACUGCUUAAAACUCACGUUUGAAUCAUCAGUGGCAAAUUCUUUUAAUGUAAAACAUGUACUUACAGUCUGUGUGCAUCACACACUGCGGCCUUGAGUUAGUGAUGGGAAGUCCAGUUCCCUUUCAGUCGUUCACUCUCAACAUCAUGUCGGUGACUGACGAAUUGGGAUAUCACUUCGAUAGACCAAUCUACUUCGAGUGUAAACUAAAUGAGCCAAUGCACAUUGGCAUGAAAUUAUUGCAUCCAGUUGCCGCUGAUCACAAUGUGAGUAUAAGAAGGGAGCAGGUGCAAUGCAUACCAGCUUUUCCCUUCGAAGCCGAGCGACAGUAUCGUUCUG
This is a long non-coding RNA of Cyprinus carpio carpio, 2711 nucleotides long. The record is from Ensembl. Lineage: Eukaryota; Metazoa; Chordata; Actinopteri; Cypriniformes; Cyprinidae.